CGUAAGUGACGGAGGCAGGAUUGCAACCCAGACAGUCUGUCCCAGCCUCCGUGGGCUUAAACAUCCUGCUUGACAUACAGAAGACUUCAGGAAAUGUCUAGGGGAUGAGUGAAUCUCCCUUCAAGAGUGGCCACGAGCCCUUUGCAGAUAUACGCAUGGAUUAACUUGUCAAAAUUUUAUCAGAGGGAAAAAGAAGGAAGAGGAGAAAGAAGAGGAAAGUCAAUGUUGUCAUUGUCAUUUUACAGGUAAGGAACCUGGGGUGCAAAGAGGUUCAGUGAUGUUUUCCUGGGCAGCACAGCUAAUAAACAUCCCCACACUAAUUCAUACUAAGCCCAUCUGACUCCCGAAGCCCACAGUCUUGAACGCAGAGGAGUUUCCUCUUUAAAAUGUAAGAACCCACUGUCACAAAGUACAUCUGAUCUUUUAAAGCGAGAACCGAGAACCGGGAAGGAAGCUGGUGGAAACAUUGUCCAUAUUCAUGAUAUGUGGUUAAAAAAAAAAAAAAAGAUUUAUUUGUUCGUAGAAAUUUCAUAACGCUGGCCAUGGAUUCACGUGAUUUAGGGGUCUGUGGGUCUAAAGCAAAUGGG
Leopardus geoffroyi (Geoffroy's cat) is the source of this 587-nucleotide long non-coding RNA. RefSeq lists it as uncharacterized. The transcript has 2 exons. Lineage: Eukaryota; Metazoa; Chordata; Mammalia; Carnivora; Felidae. The record is from RefSeq and is a predicted model, not a curated record.